RNAcentral lists this long non-coding RNA (1732 nucleotides) under Anas platyrhynchos platyrhynchos (common mallard). RNAcentral's name for it is "lncRNA (ENSAPLG00000028676.1)". The record is from RNAcentral. Lineage: Eukaryota; Metazoa; Chordata; Aves; Anseriformes; Anatidae.
CUCGUUGUCCCAGCUGCGGUUGCCCAGGCUGGGGGCGGCGGCGGAGACGUCCCGCAGCCGGAUCUCGCCCUCGCCCGCCGUAGCCUGCAGCAUCAGCCGGGGCUUGGCGGCCAGCGGGUGGGCGUCGAGGGCCAGCACCGCCCGGCGCACCCAAGGGUGCCCCUCGGCCAGGCUGCGGACCAGUGCCUGGUACCACUCCACGUCCUCGGCCACGCUGGCCUCGCGGAUGUCGUUGCUCUGGAAGAGCAUGUUGAGGAAGUUGGCGGCCUGGGCCAGCGCCUCGGGGGCGGCACGCAGGGCGGCCCGCAGAGCCGGGGGGGGGCCGGAGCCGGGGGCCCCCGCCGCGACGCCCCGGCUGCAGUUGGCCCGGGCCAGGCGCUGCGCAUCGCCCGAGCGCAGGAAGGCCAGCGCCGCUACCGAGCCCUCGGCGUCCCCCGACGGCCCCGGCUCCGACGUGGGCACCCAGGGGGGUGGCGAGGCCGGGGGCCGCUGUGCCCCCCCCAGGAGCAGCACAGCGUGCAGCCACCAGAGCAGCGGCCACCACCACAGCCCCAUGGCCAGGCUCAGCGCAGCCCCCCGGCACCCCGCGGCCGGCCCGGGGGGGGCAUGGUGGGCACGGCGCCCGAGCCGGCCGGGAGCCCGCUGGGCUGCGCUGAGCCGCUCUCCGCCGCCUGUUUUCCUCCCUCCACAGACGUCACCGGCUCCAAACCGCGCUCAGCCGCUGGCGCUGCCCGCACGGAGCCCCCCCGCCCGCCCCCGCCUGCCUCCGGUCUUGGCCCCGCUGUGGGGAGCCCCCGGCCGGCCCCGGGACCCCGCUCCCCGGCCCCUCGGGCUGCCCGUGAUGCAAGCGCAUCCCGACGGGCAGCCAUGGCAACCGUGCUGCGAGCAUCCGCAUCCACAUCCCGCAGCCGCAUCCUGCACCCCGCGGCUCCCGGGGGUCCCAGGGGUCGGUGCUGCAGCGCCCCAGGCCCCGGGGAGGGGGCUGGGGUUGGGCUCCCACCGGCAGGAAACCCAAAGUCCCUGUUGUGGGGCAGGGAGGGAAAUGGGGGCACACGGGGGGCCCAGUGGGGCAGGGGGUGCUGUGCACCCAGAGCUGCCCCUUGCUCCCCACUCCCCAAUUUUGGGGUGUCCUGGGUGCCACGCAGCACUGCCUGCCAAUGGGGGGAAACUGAGGCACAGGAGGCUGGUGCAAAGCAAGGGGGGGGGGGGGGGGGGGUCCCCGGCCCCCAGGCCGGGGGCCGGGGGGCGCCCCCGGUUUCGGCCCUCCGGGGGGGGGGCUGCCCCGGGUGCCUGCAGGAGCCGUGCAGGAGCCGCACAGCGGCUGUGCAAAGGACGUGCAGCAGCUGUGCAAGGGGCAUGCAGGAGCUGUGCAAGAGCUGUGCAAAAGCUGUGCAGGAGCCAUGCAGAGUGUGCAGAGCUGUGCAGGAGCCGUGUGAGUGCUGUGUAGGAGCCGUGCAUGAGCCAUGCAUGAGCUGUGAAGGAGGCAUGCAGGAGCCAUGCAGCAGCCAUGCAAAAGUGGUGCAGCAUCCGUGCAAGUGCCGUGCAGGAGCCGUGCAAAAACUGUGUAGAAGCCAUGCAUGGGCUGUGCAGAGCCAUGCAGCAGGCAUGCAGCAGGCGUGCAGCAGGCAUGCAGGAGCUGUGCAGAGCAACACAUAGCAGUGCAGCCCCGUGCAUUGCCGUGCACCCCGGUGCCUCCCGGUGCCCCCCGGUGCCCCCCUCCCGUUCCGUCCCG